Molecule: ribosomal RNA, 279 nt
Filed under: uncultured bacterium
Lineage: Bacteria
Description: partial 16S ribosomal RNA
Rfam family: Bacterial small subunit ribosomal RNA
Source: RNAcentral
UGCCAGCAGCCGCGGUAAUACGUAGGACCCGAGCGUUGUCCGGAUUUACUGGGUAUAAAGGGUGCGCAGGCGGCCGUGUGCGUCAGAAGUGAAAUAUCCGGGCUUAACCCGGAGGGUGCUUUUGAUACGGCAUGGCUUGAGUCCGAGAGAGGAUGAUGGAAUUCCUGGUGUAGCGGUGGAAUGCGUAGAUAUCAGGAGGAACACCGGUGGCGAAGGCGGUCAUCUGGCUCGGAACUGACGCUCAGGCACAAAAGCGUGGGGAUCAAACAGGAUUAGAUA